GCUUGGCACUUCGCAAAUAUUUUCAGUCGUGGGAGAGCAGCCCUUUAUUUCAGUAGAGAAAGGAGGCUCCAGCCACACUUCAAAGAGAGGCUGAGGUUGGAGACCCUCCGACUGAAGGGUGGGGUAGGAGGGGAAAUCUGCACCCUCUGGAUGGAUGCCCCAGGAUGCUGAAGAGGAUCCUUCCCAUGGGCAUCUCUGGACCCUCCCAUGAGGAUAAUAUUACCACAAAAUCACCGAUCUGCAUACAUUUAUUAAAGCACUGGUUCAACAUGGAGGCUUACAGAUAACCAUCUUCUAAGAUAAAACUCACUGAUUGCAUGGCAUAUUUUUGGACCCAUUCACAGAAAAGAAG
RNAcentral lists this long non-coding RNA (352 nucleotides) under Phascolarctos cinereus (koala). Its description in RNAcentral is "lncRNA (ENSPCIG00000032574.1)". Lineage: Eukaryota; Metazoa; Chordata; Mammalia; Diprotodontia; Phascolarctidae. The record is from RNAcentral.